Molecule: long non-coding RNA, 262 nt
Organism: Eupeodes corollae
Lineage: Eukaryota; Metazoa; Arthropoda; Insecta; Diptera; Syrphidae
Exons: 2
Source: RefSeq, a predicted model, not a curated record
GCCUAAGCCAAAGCCAAAGCCAGGCCAGUUCCAGCCAGCCAGCCAGCAGCGUUAAAGAAAAGCGUCAUUAUAAGUUUGCGAUACGUCAUUUUAAAUCCAUGAUGAGUAUGAGUACUAAAUUCGUGUUUAAUAAUAUUGAAGCCCCAGGCGAUGAGCAAACGUUAAAAGUGAGUAUAUCUAUAAACGCGUGCAUAAUGGUUUUCAUAAAUGAAGGUAUGCGAUUAGCAGUCUUAAUAAAAAGUACCUACCUAUUGUAUUUUUA